UACAGAGGGGGCAAGCGUUGUUCGGAAUUACUGGGCGUAAAGGGCGCGUAGGCGGCCUUCUAAGUCGAACGUGAAAUCCCCGGGCUCAACCCGGGAACUGCGUCCGAUACUGGAAGGCUUGAAUUCGGGAGAGGGAUGCAGAAUUCCAGGUGUAGCGGUGAAAUGCGUAGAUAUCUGGAGGAAUACCGGUGGCGAAGGCGGCAUCCUGGACCGAUAUUGACGCUGAUGCGCGAAAGCCAGGGGAGCAAACGGG
This 253-nucleotide ribosomal RNA is filed under the name uncultured bacterium. Its description in RNAcentral is "partial 16S ribosomal RNA". It matches the Rfam family "Bacterial small subunit ribosomal RNA", at positions 524 to 776 of the family's 1533-position model. The record is from RNAcentral.